GUGCCAGCAGCCGCGGUAAGACAGAGGGUGCAAACGUUGUUCGGAUUUACUGGGCGUAAAGCGCGUGUAGGCGGCUUUGCAAGUCGGAUGUGAAAGCCCACGGCUCAACCGUGGAAGUGCAUCCGAAACUGCAUGGCUUGAGUCUCGGAGAGGAAGGUGGAAUGCUUGGUGUAGAGGUGAAAUUCGUAGAUAUCAAGCAGAACACCUGCGGCGAAGGCGGCCUUCUGGACGAUGACUGACGCUGAGACGCGAAAGCGUGGGGAGCAAACAGGAUUAGAUACCCCAGUAGUCC
Molecule: ribosomal RNA, 292 nt
Filed under: uncultured bacterium
Lineage: Bacteria
Description: partial 16S ribosomal RNA
Rfam family: Bacterial small subunit ribosomal RNA
Source: RNAcentral